CGUGCUACCAAGUUGUUUUCGAUGAUGCGGCUUCCAAAUCGACGAUCGGCUCCGUUAAACUUGAUCUACACUAUUGAAAGUAUUUGGAAACUAAAUUUCAGAUUUUUUCGAUAUCAUUUGACUAGUGAUCAAAAGAUCUCAAAGUUGAUAAUUUUAUGGGCCGAUGUGGUGUGUUUGAGAGUUUAACGGUGUAAAACAAUCCAAAUCCGAUGAAAAUUUUAUAGAAAAUUCUUUUUACUAUUUAGAGUGAGAUCAGUAUAUCUGAUCUUAAAUUUAAAUCUUUUAUCAUCAUUUUUAUGAGAUUUUUAUUUUCAGCCGUUCAAUUUUAAACUACUUGUUUGAUAGGUAAAUGAUAUCGAAAAAUUAUGAAAUUUAGUUUCUAAAUACUUUUAAUAGUGUAGAUCAAGUCUAACGGAGCCGAUCGUCGAUUUGGAAGCCGCAUCAUCGAAAACAACUUGGUAGCACGGAGUGCUGCGUACUACCGAUAGUAUAGCAGCCUAGCUAUUGGUGCUAUUAGGUUUUCGGCCCUUCGAUGAAGGCAUGUGUGAUUAGGAUGAUAGUAGUCUCCUAAGGUUAAGUAGGUGGGUGGUUGAAUAUAUGAUAUAACAGGUGAAAAUGAUUAAAGGAAUAGAUCUAACGACGGAAAACUUAAUAGCGAGAAGUGCUUGGUGCUAUUAAUAACAUAGUAGCCAGAUUCUCUCUCUCUCUCCCUAUAUAUAUAUAUAUAUAUAUAGGCUGGGGCUACUAUACUUAUAUGAAUAUACAGCCCUUUGUACUCAUAAAUUUUCAGCCGUUCAGAUGAAAAAAUAUGCGGUUAUGAUGAAAGUGGUUACGGUUAGGUUGAUAGUGGGCCCCCUGAGGUUGAGUGGGUGGUUGGUUGAAUAGUAUAAUCUAACGGGUGAAAAUGAUUAAAGGGUAGAUCCAACGGGCAAAAACUUAUGAGUACAAGAGGCUCUAUACUCAUAAAAGUAUAGUAGUCGGACUAUAUAUAUAUAUAGUAGAGCUAUUAUGCUAUUGGAAGCAUGGAGGAUCUGGUGCUUUCGAUUUUUUGGCUCUUAUAUCAACCUCUUUGAUCAUUUCUAUCAUUUGAAUUAAAAUUAUUGUUGUGAGGACUACUCAAUCCUAGGGAGGGCUGUAAUCAUUCUAACCGUACAAUUCUUGAUCUAAUGAUCAAAAAAUCGGAAACAUAAAAUCUUUUAUACUUCCAAUAUAUAUAUAUAGAGAGAGAGUUGAGUUAGAAUACUCUCAGAAGCACAAAGGGGGUAGUACUUUUGAGUUUUUAGCCUUUGGAUUGAGAGAUGUAGGGUUGGGAUGAUGAUGGUAGGUGGUAGGUAGUGGUAGGUGGAAUAGUGUUUGAUUCAAGGGCUAUUAGUAAUCAAGGAGUAGAUCCAAGAGGUAGAAACUUAGAAGCACCAAGAGAUUGAUGCUUCUAAAAGUGCUCUAGCUCAAUUCUAUAUAUGUGUGUGUGUGUGUGUGUGUGUGUGUGUGUGUGUGUGAGGCUACUAUGCUUUUGGAAGCACAGAUCCUUCAGUACUUCCAGGUCAUUUUCGAUGUGUGUGUGUGUGUGUGUGUGUGUGUGUGUGUGAGAGGCUACUAUGCUUUUCGAAGCACAGAGCCUUCCNUGGGUGGUUGGUUGAAUAGUAUAAUCUAAUGGUUAAAAAUGAUCCGAGAAGUAGAUCUAAUGGUAAAAAACUUACAAGCACCAAGUGCUUGGUGCGUUUACAAGCACCAUAGCUGGACUCUACACACACACACACACACACACACACACUCUCAAAGAGGGAGGGAAGAGUGGCCAAUUCAAACUCAAGUGGAGAAGAGGAAAAUAAGCCAAUUCAAACUCAAGUGGCCAAUUGUAUAUAUAUAUAUAUAUAGAAAGUGGAGCUGAAAUACUAUUGAUAGUAUGAGAAUAGAAUUUUCUAUGAACUUUUUGACCACUAGAUACAUAGGGUUUCGUGGGGGUUGGUGGAAUACUGUUUAUAUACUAUUAAUAGUAUACUAGCUCAACCCUCUUUCUCUAUAUGUAUAGUAGGACUACUGUACUAUUAUGAGUAUAGGAUCUUUCGUACUCAUAAGUCAUUUUCGAUGAUAGAUCUUCCGAAUUGAUGAUUCAUACCGUUAAACAUGAUCUAGAGCAUUUGAAAUUUCUAGAAACCAAAUUUCAUAAUUUUUUAAAAUUAUAAUAAAGUCCAUCAAACAUAAAAAUGAAUAGGUCAAAAUCAAACGACUUCCUAAAAUUAGAGGAUUGAAGUUUUCAAUUUAAGAUCGGAGUUAUUGAUCUUUAUCUAGAUAAUGAAUAGAACAUUUUAUCAAAAGUUUAACCAAUUUCGAUUCUUUUAACUGUUAACUAGCAACUAUCUCAUAUCGGCCGUUAAAAGUUAUCAACAUUGAGAUAUUUUGAUCAUAUGCAAAUGAUAUCGAAAAAUUAUAAAAUUUGGUUUCUAGAAGUUUAAAUGCUCUAGAUAAUGUUUAACGGUAUUUAUUGUUCAUUCGAAAGUUCUAUCAUCGAAAACGACUUAUAUUCGAAAGUUCUAUCAUUUUUUAGACCUUUUGAUCGCUUAGUAAAUGAUGUCAAAAAAUUAUAAAUUUGGUUUCUAGGUAGUUCCAAUAGGGUAGAUUAUACUUAAUGGAGCCGAUCGUCGAAUCGGAUGUUCUACCAUCGAAAACAACUUACAAGUACGGAGGUCUCCGUACUUUCAAAAGUACAGGAGACGUACUCUAUAUAUAUAUAUAUAUAAAUAUAUAUAUAUAGAAUUAUGCUACUAUACUAUCAAUAGUACCAAGCCCUUGGUACUAUUGAGUUUUCGGCCGUUGGAUAAAAGGAUGUGUGGUUAGGAUGAUAGUGGUCCCCGGUUAAAUUAAUAGUGGUCCCCUAGGGUUGAGUGAGUGGUUUGUUUAAUAUUAUAAUCUAACGGGUGGAAAUGAUCAAAAGGUAGAUCUAACGGUAGAAAACUCAAUAGUACCAAGGGCUUGAUACUAUCAAUAGUAUAGUAGCCGGACUCUAUAUAUAUAUAUAUAUAUAUAGAGUGAGGCUACUAUGCUUCUGGAAGCUACUAUGCUUCUGGAAGUACGGACUACGGAGCCUUCCGUGCUUUCAGGUCAUUUUUCAUGUUGCGACUUUCGAAUCGUCGAUCGGCUCCGUUAAACUUGAUCUAGAGUAUUUGAAGUAUCUAGAAAAUAAAUUUUGUAAUUUUUCGAUAUCAUUUGCCGAGUGAACUAAGGGGCUCAAAAUCAACGGCUGAAAAUAAAAAUCUUACAAAACGUGAUAAUAUGACAUUAAAAUUUUAGAUCAAAGAUAUUGAUCUUGUUUUAUAUAGUAUAAAGAAUUUUCUAUCAAAAUUUCAUGUGAUUUGGAUAUUUCUACACCAUUAAACUUGCAAACGGCUCACCACGGCCUUUAAAAUUAUUGAUUUUGAGCCCCUUCGAUCACUAGACAAAUGGUAUCGAAAAAUCAUAAAAUUUAUUUUUCAAGUACUUCAAAUACUCUAGAUCAAGUUUAACGGAGCCGAUCGACGAUUUGAAAGUCGCAAUAUCGGAAACGACCUGGAAGCAUGGAAGGCUCCGUGCUUCCAGACCCGUGCUCCGUGCUUCCAGAAGCAUAGUAGCUUCACUCUCUCUCUCUCUCUCUCUCUCUCUCUCUCUAUAUAUAUAUAUAUAUAGGAAAGAAGUUCUUUUCUGGACGAUUAAACUCUCAACAAAUUUGUCCUCUUUUUUGAAGCCAACGCCCCACUUUUUAUAGCCAUCUAAUUUAGCUUUUUUUUUUUUUUUAACUGCUGAAAUUUUCCAUUAAAAUCCCAAUGAACUUUCUGGUUUGAAUCUGAACCUCAAACUUCAGUUUGUUGCUAAUAUCUCUCACUAGUUUGUUGCUCAAUCCUCUCCCAUUUGAAUUUCAAAAUUCAAGUUUCGGUUCAGGUUUAGAAAGAGUUCAGUUUAAGUGUGUUUUUGGUUUGGUUAAGCUCAACUUAUUCAAUU
RNAcentral lists this long non-coding RNA (3972 nucleotides) under Ananas comosus (pineapple). RNAcentral describes it as "long non-coding RNA (ACOM_LNC026836)". The record is from RNAcentral. Lineage: Eukaryota; Viridiplantae; Streptophyta; Magnoliopsida; Poales; Bromeliaceae.